This 1152-nucleotide ribosomal RNA is filed under the name marine metagenome. RNAcentral describes it as "bacterial SSU rRNA". It matches the Rfam family "Bacterial small subunit ribosomal RNA", at positions 8 to 1202 of the family's 1533-position model. The record is from RNAcentral.
AGAGUUUGAUCCUGGCUCAGAAGGAACGCUGGCAGCGUGCAUAACACAUGCAAGUCGAACGAUGAAGCAUUCUUCGGAAUGUGGAAGAGUGGCGAACGGGUGAGGAACACGUAAGAAUCUGCCCCUCGGUCGGGGACAACUCUUGGAAACGAGAGCUAAUACCCGAUACGCUGUGGAGUGAAAGAAUUUCGCCGAGGGAUGAUCUUGCGUCUGAUUAGCUAGUUGGUGUGGUAAUGGCACACCAAGGCGACGAUCAGUAGCUGGUCUGAGAGGAUGAACAGCCACAUUGGAACUGAGACACGGUCCAAACUCCUACGGGAGGCAGCAGUGGGGAAUUUUCCGCAAUGGACGAAAGUCUGACGGAGCGACGCUGCGUGAAGGAUGACGGCCUGCGGGUUGUAAACUUCUUUUCUCGAAGAAGAAGCUCUGACGGUAUUCGAGGAAUAAGCAUCGGCUAACUCCGUGCCAGCAGCCGCGGUAAUACGGAGGAUGCAAGUGUUAUUCGGAAUGAUUGGGCGUAAAGCGUCUGUAGGCUGUAUAGAAAGUCUUUUGUUAAAUGCCUCGGCUCAACCGAGAUCCAGCAAAGGAAACUUCUAUACUUGAGGGAAGUAGAGGUACAGGGAAUUCCCGGUGGAGCGGUGAAAUGCGUAGAUAUCGGGAGGAACACCAAUAUGGCGAAGGCACUGUACUGGGCUUUACCUGACGCUCAGAGACGAAAGCUAAAGGAGUGAUUAGGAUUAGAUACCCUAGUAAUUUUAGCCGUAAACGAUGGAAACUCACUGCCGAGCGAAAUACAACGAGCGGUGGUCAAGCUAACGCGUGAAGUUUCCCGCCUGGGGAUUACGCUUGCAAAAGUGAAACUCAAAGGAAUUGACGGGGACCCGCACAAGCGGUGGAGUAUGUGGUUUAAUUCGAUGCAACACGAAGAACCUUACCAGGGUUUGAAAUCAUUUCAAAACUCCUUGAAAGAGGAGCCUCCUUCGGGAUGAAAUGACAGGUGGUGCAUGGCUGUCGUCAGCUCGUGUUGUGAAAUGUCGAGUUAAGUCUCGUAACGAGCGCAACCCAUGUCUCUUGUUGCUCACUGAGUGCUUAAGAGAGACUGCCGACCAACAUCGGAGGAAGGUGUGGAUGAUGUCAAGUCAGCAUGCCCCU